RNAcentral lists this ribosomal RNA (457 nucleotides) under Lautropia sp. canine oral taxon 175. RNAcentral describes it as "bacterial SSU rRNA". It matches the Rfam family "Bacterial small subunit ribosomal RNA", at positions 9 to 468 of the family's 1533-position model. The record is from RNAcentral. Lineage: Bacteria; Pseudomonadati; Pseudomonadota; Betaproteobacteria; Burkholderiales; Burkholderiaceae.
GAGUUUGAUUCUGGCUCAGAUUGAACGCUGGCGGCAUGCUUUACACAUGCAAGUCGAACGGCAGCGCGGGCUUCGGCCUGGCGGCGAGUGGCGAACGGGUGAGUAAUACAUCGGAACGUACCUGGUAGUGGGGGAUAGCUCGGCGAAAGCCGGAUUAAUACCGCAUACGACCUCAGGGUGAAAGCGGGGGACCUUCGGGCCUCGCGCUAUCAGAGCGGCCGAUGGCAGAUUAGCUAGUUGGCGAGGUAAAGGCUUACCAAGGCGACGAUCUGUAGCUGGUCUGAGAGGACGACCAGCCACACUGGGACUGAGACACGGCCCAGACUCCUACGGGAGGCAGCAGUGGGGAAUUUUGGACAAUGGGCGCAAGCCUGAUCCAGCAAUGCCGCGUGUGUGAUGAAGGCCUUCGGGUUGUAAAGCACUUUUGUCAGGAACGAAAAGGUCCGUGCUAAUACCA